Molecule: ribosomal RNA, 874 nt
Filed under: uncultured bacterium
Lineage: Bacteria
Description: bacterial SSU rRNA
Rfam family: Bacterial small subunit ribosomal RNA
Source: RNAcentral
UUUGAUCAUGGCUCAGAACGAACGCUGGCGGCGCGCCUAAUACAUGCAAGUCGAGCGAGAAGACGUAGCAAUACGUUUGUAAAGCGGCGAACGGGUGAGGAAUACAUGGGUAACCUACCCUCGAGUGGGGAAUAACUAGCCGAAAGGUUAGCUAAUACCGCGUACGCUCCUUGGACUUCGGUUCAGGGAGGAAAGCGAUACCGUGGGUAUCGCGCUCUUGGAUGGGCUCAUGUCCUAUCAGCUUGUUGGUGAGGUAACGGCUCACCAAGGCUUCGACGGGUAGCUGGUCUGAGAGGACGAUCAGCCACACUGGCACUGCGACACGGGCCAGACUCCUACGGGAGGCAGCAGUAAGGAAUAUUGCGCAAUGGGCGAAAGCCUGACGCAGCGACGCCGCGUGGGGGAUGAAGGUCUUCGGAUUGUAAACCCCUUUCGGGAGGGAAGAUGGAAUGGGGUAACCCAUUCGGACGGUACCUCCAGAAGCAGCCACGGCUAACUUCGUGCCAGCAGCCGCGGUAAUACGAAGGUGGCAAGCGUUGUUCGGAUUUACUGGGCGUACAGGGAGCGUAGGCGGUUCGGUAAGCCCUCUGUGAAAUCUCCAGGCUUAACCUGGAACAGUCGGAGGGGACUGCCGGGCUAGAGGACGGGAGAGGAGCGCGGAAUUCCCGGUGUAGCGGUGAAAUGCGUAGAGAUCGGGAGGAAAGGCCGGUGGCGAAAGCGGCGCUCUGGAACGUUUCUGACGCUGAGCUCGAAAGCGUGGGGAGCAAACAGGAUUAGAUACCCUGGUAGUCCACGCCUUAAACUAUGAAUACUAAGUGUCGGCGGGUUACCGCCGGUGCCGCAGCUACGCAUUAAGUAUUCCGCCUGGGAAGUA